UAAGCAAGUGAAGGUACCUGAGGAAUCAGCAUCGGCUAACUCCGUGCCAGCAGCCGCGGUAAUACGGAGGAUGCAAGCGUUAUCCGGAAUGAUUGGGCGUAAAGCGUCCGUAGGUAGCAGUGUGUGUCUAUUGUUAAAGAGUUUGGCUUAACCAAAUAAAGGCGGUAGAAACUACACAGCUAGAGUGCGUUCGGGGCAGAGGGAAUUCCUGGUGUAGCGGUGAAAUGC
RNAcentral lists this ribosomal RNA (228 nucleotides) under Hapalosiphon sp. K62. Its description in RNAcentral is "partial 16S ribosomal RNA". It matches the Rfam family "Bacterial small subunit ribosomal RNA", at positions 462 to 689 of the family's 1533-position model. The record is from RNAcentral. Lineage: Bacteria; Bacillati; Cyanobacteriota; Cyanophyceae; Nostocales; Hapalosiphonaceae.